AUUGAACGCUGGCGGCAGGCCUAACACAUGCAAGUCGAACGGUAACAGGAAACAGCUUGCUGUUUCGCUGACGAGUGGCGGACGGGUGAGUAAUGUCUGGGAAACUGCCUGAUGGAGGGGGAUAACUACUGGGAACGGUAGCUAAUACCGCAUAACGUCGCAAGACCAAAGAGGGGGACCUUCGGGCCUCUUGCCAUCGGAUGUGCCCAGAUGGGAUUAGCUAGUAGGUGGGGUAACGGCUCACCUAGGCGACGAUCCCUAGCUGGUCUGAGGGGAUGACCAGCCACACUGGAACUGAGACACGGUCCAGACUCCUACGGGAGGCAGCAGUGGGGAAUAUUGCACAAUGGGCGCAAGCCUGAUGCAGCCAUGUCGCGUGUAUGAAGAAGGCCUUCGGGUUGUAAAGUACUUUCAGCGGGGAGGAAGGGAGUAAAGUUAAUACCUUUACUCAUUGACGUUACCCGCAGAAGAAGCACCGGCUAACUCCGUGCCAGCCGCCGCAGUAA
RNAcentral lists this ribosomal RNA (506 nucleotides) under uncultured bacterium. RNAcentral's name for it is "partial 16S ribosomal RNA". It matches the Rfam family "Bacterial small subunit ribosomal RNA", at positions 30 to 523 of the family's 1533-position model. The record is from RNAcentral.